RNAcentral lists this ribosomal RNA (501 nucleotides) under Tragelaphus scriptus (bushbuck). RNAcentral's name for it is "partial large subunit ribosomal RNA". It matches the Rfam family "Bacterial large subunit ribosomal RNA", at positions 1846 to 2569 of the family's 2925-position model. The record is from RNAcentral. Lineage: Eukaryota; Metazoa; Chordata; Mammalia; Artiodactyla; Bovidae.
UUGGAGGCACUGCCUGCCCAGUGACAAUAGUUUAACGGCCGCGGUAUCCUGACCGUGCAAAGGUAGCAUAAUCACUUGUUCUCUAAAUAAGGACUUGUAUGAAUGGCCACACGAGGGUUUUACUGUCUCUUACUUCCAAUCAGUGAAAUUGACCUCCCCGUGAAGAGGCGGGAAUAAAUUAAUAAGACGAGAAGACCCUAUGGAGCUUUAACUAACCAAUCCAAAGAAAACAGACUAAAUAACUCAGGAAAUAACAACGUCUUCUUAUGAUUUGACAGUUUCGGUUGGGGUGACCUCGGAGAAUAAAAAAUCCUCCGAACGAUUUUAAAGACUAGACCUACAAGUCAAAUCACUCAAUCGCUCAUUGAUCCAAAAACUUGAUCAACGGAACAAGUUACCCUAGGGAUAACAGCGCAAUCCUAUUCAAGAGUCCAUAUCGACAAUAGGGUUUACGACCUCGAUGUUGGAUCAGGACACCCAGAUGGUGCAACCGCUAUCAAA